GACCAAUCUGACCACAACCCACUGUUUUCAAACCCAUCAUAUCCUUGCUGCAAAAGCUUAAAGCCUUCGGAAUCUCCUGAAAAAUUACUUCCCCUUCCAAAAGAUCCCAUUGCAGGCAAAUAACCUGGUUGAGGCCCAACUCUGUUGCCAUCUCCUUGGGGAUUAAUGCUAACUGGCAAAUUAGCAGAAGAAACUGGGGUUUUUAAAGCAAUGUUUGGUGUCAUGAAUUGUUGGUAGAAAGGUGGAUCUGAGUUUGGUAAAUCUUGGACGUUGUAUAGCUGACCAUGACAAUUUAUAGGAGGGGGUGUUGUUGUGGAUGAGGAAAAUGACCUUUGUGGCAUUUCAGGAGUGUAACCAUGGCCAUGAAAUGGAAGUGAU
This 378-nucleotide unclassified non-coding RNA is filed under the name Hevea brasiliensis (rubber tree). Lineage: Eukaryota; Viridiplantae; Streptophyta; Magnoliopsida; Malpighiales; Euphorbiaceae. The record is from RNAcentral.